GCUAGAAUUUUAUUUUUAGAGACAUCUAGAUCUGCUGGUGGUUGCCAUGGAUAUUUCCAGCAGAAUUUAGCACUUUAGGGAGCUUAUAAUCAUCACAUAAUUGGGGAAGGAAAGGGUUCAGGAAGAUCUCCUGCUGACAUAAAAAGGCUCUAUUGUUUGUCCUUAAAAGGAGACUCUCCUGUGGGUCCUCUUCUGCAGCCACUUACACCAGAAGUAUGCAUGAGAGGUUCAUGACCAGUUAGCUUACUUCAUUACA
Molecule: long non-coding RNA, 256 nt
Filed under: Bos taurus (domestic cattle)
Lineage: Eukaryota; Metazoa; Chordata; Mammalia; Artiodactyla; Bovidae
Description: long non-coding RNA NONBTAT019452
Source: RNAcentral